Molecule: ribosomal RNA, 281 nt
Filed under: uncultured bacterium
Lineage: Bacteria
Description: partial 16S ribosomal RNA
Rfam family: Bacterial small subunit ribosomal RNA
Source: RNAcentral
AGCGAACGCUGGCGGCAGGCUUAACACAUGCAAGUCGAGCGGGCGUAGCAAUACGUCAGCGGCAGACGGGUGAGUAACGCGUGGGAACAUACCUUUUGGUUCGGAACAACACAGGGAAACUUGUGCUAAUACCGGAUAAGCCCUUACGGGGAAAGGAUUAUCGCCGAAAGAUUGGCCCGCCGUCUGAUUAGCUAGUUGGUGUGGUAAAGACGCACCAAGGCGACGAUCAGUAGCUGGCUGAGAGGAUGAUCAGCCACAUUGGGACUGAGACACGGCCCAAA